GAUUCUGGCUCAGAACGAACGCUGGCGGCGCGUCUUAAGCAUGCAAGUCGAACGGCAAGAGGUAGCAAUACCUCCUAGAGUGGCGGACUGGUGAGUAACACGUGGGUGACAUACCCUUCAGAUGAGGAUAGCUAUUAGAAAUAGUAGAUAAUACCGAAUACGAGCACAGGGGUUAGAGAUCUGUGAGGAAAGGAGCUAAGGCUCCGCUGAAGGAAUGGCCUGCGGCCCAUUAGCUAGUUGGUGAGGUAAGAGCCCACCAAGGCGAUGAUGGGUAUCCGGCCUUAGAGGGUGAACGGACACAUUGGGACUGAGAUACGGCCCAGACUCCUACGGGAGGCAGCAGCUAAGAAUAUUCCGCAAUGGACGAAAGUCUGACGGAGCGACGCCGCCGUGGAUGAAGAAGGCCGGAAGGUUGUAAAAUCCUUUUGAAACUGAAGAAUAAGCGUUGUAGGGAAUGACAGCGUGGUGACAGUAGGUUUUGAAUAAGCAACGGCUAAUUACGUGCCAGCCGCCGC
RNAcentral lists this ribosomal RNA (515 nucleotides) under uncultured bacterium. RNAcentral describes it as "bacterial SSU rRNA". It matches the Rfam family "Bacterial small subunit ribosomal RNA", at positions 15 to 518 of the family's 1533-position model. The record is from RNAcentral.